CUGGCUCUUUUUCAUCUGGUUCAGUUCCUUGACCUACUUAACUCUGCAGCCACAGAAAAGCUUGCACUAGCAUACAGCAGGGAUCUGUGCAGAUUUGAGAACAAGGAAGCAAGAGCAGCAACUGCUUCAACUCAGCUGCUGCCAAGAUGAUGAUUUUUACACUUAACCUGAAAUAUUCAGCUUUUUUUUUCUUCACUUAGUGAAACAGAUCACAACCAUCUGUGGGGGAAAGAUACUGAAUGAGCAGUGGAUGCUUUGCAUUCUACAGCAGCUUCCUGCAGCCCCAAGAUCUGACCCAAGGAGACAAAAAUACUCAUGCGCAUGGAAGAAAACAGAAAACAUUAUGAAUAUACACAAUCAGACAUUUCUUCAACGCAGAAAGAUACUCCAAAUGAACAAAUGGAUAGCUUUUCUUCUCUGAAGGGAAAGGAAUCAUGUACAUCACAGACUGAAUGGGUGAAUUUUCCUUUUACUACUCUAUUUCUGAGAAGGCAUGAAGUCUCACAACAGGCAGGUAAGACCCAUAUUCAUCUAAUCUUUCCACAGAGAAUGGGAGAAAAAAAUGACAAUUAUGAUACAAAUACUUAUCCAUCAAAAAUCAGACCAUCACUAGCAAAAUCUCUCGUUUGCUACCCUGAAAAUGUGCAAACU
Molecule: long non-coding RNA, 651 nt
Organism: Dromaius novaehollandiae (emu)
Lineage: Eukaryota; Metazoa; Chordata; Aves; Casuariiformes; Dromaiidae
Exons: 3
Source: RefSeq, a predicted model, not a curated record